Molecule: long non-coding RNA, 929 nt
Organism: Acanthochromis polyacanthus (spiny chromis)
Lineage: Eukaryota; Metazoa; Chordata; Actinopteri; Pomacentridae
Exons: 2
Source: RefSeq, a predicted model, not a curated record
UGGCUGAUUUUGAUUAUUUAAUUUUCAAUAAAUUUUUAUUUAUUGUUACUUUUGUGAGUUUCAAGUGAUUUCAGUGAGAAUUGUGGGUUUUUCCUUCUUUAACUGAGGGGUACCAACAAUUUUGUCCACGUGUGUACAUAUCAUCAGGAGAAAAGGUCUCGUACUGAACCAGCUCAGGUGCCUGAAAGUGCCCAGCCUGUCGGGGGGAAGGUGAAGAGGUCUCUAGGCAGCUUUUUUAAAAGCAGUGCACCCUCCCCUUUGCCUGCAAAACUUGAGGACAUCGCAGAGGCAGAGAUCAGCAGCUAUUUGAUGACUCCUACCAUUGAUGGAGAGGAUGAUCCCCUGGCUUGGUGGAGGGUACACAAGAUCAGUUUCCCACAACUGUGCACCAUGGCACGCAAGUAUCUCUGCAUACCUGCCACUAGCGCUCCCUCAGAGCGUCUCUUUAGUACAGGAGGGAAUAUUGUUACUUGCACUCGCUCAUCUUUGAAGCCAGCCAAAGUAAAUAUGCUGAUCUUCUUAGCAAAAAACCUGUGAGCCACGAGAAGAACACUGUUGAAUCAUUGUGGCUGGCAGUGCCAAGCUCAAUGUGAAGUUUAGUCUGUGUUGUGUGGUAUUGUAAUGUUCUUUUGAAAAGUAAGGUUGAUAUUGAUAAUAAUAUUCAAAUUGGUUUAUUUUAUUUUAUUUUUUUGCCUAAUGUAAAAGUGCAUUUGUUUUUUAUUUAUAACUUUAUUCUGAUUCUACAAAAUAUUUUCAAAUAGAGUCAAAUUCUAUGCUUCAGUUGUGUGAAAUGUUACUGAUUUGGGAACAGUAAGAUGCCCUAUUAUUUUAUAUAUUUUUUGUUAAGAUGGUAAAUUUUGCACAGUUUUUACAAAGUGCUUGUUCUUAUGUUUCUUUGAGCAUUUAAAUAAAAAUCCCAUUUAUUUAAA